GUUGUUACAUUGAUAUUAUGAUACGAACUUUUGGUCGGUUUGGUGGCGAUAUUUUCAACAGCUGUAGAAGUACACCAUGGCGUCAGAAUAUCUUAAAAGUCGUAAAAGAUUUUGGGAAAGUGACAAUUCUUUAAAACGUCCUGAAAAUAAUCAAGUUCCAAUUCAGCUAAGUGAAUUAAUCAAAACGUUUCUGAAAUGUAUCCAAGAGGAAGGUUUGCAAACAGCUUACAAUCGUUACGGAUAUGAUCCACGGGAAACACAACCUCCAAGAUAUGUUGUCAAUGCUACUGAAGAUGAAAAAAUCAGUGACGUCAUUAUUGUUGGUGCAGGAAUGGCAGGUUUAAGUGCAGCGUAUGAAUUGAAAAAAGCUGGUCUUUCUGUGAAAAUUCUAGAGCAAACGGACCGUUAUGGGGGAAGAAUUUUUACGUAUGGUAAAGAGAGUGGUCUUGCGUCUGGUCUGUAUGCAGAAGUGGGGGCUAUGCGAUUUCCCGGUGAUGCUAAUGAUCAAUCAGACAGACCGCAUUUUUUGG
Molecule: long non-coding RNA, 530 nt
Organism: Xenia sp. Carnegie-2017
Lineage: Eukaryota; Metazoa; Cnidaria; Anthozoa; Malacalcyonacea; Xeniidae
Exons: 3
Source: RefSeq, a predicted model, not a curated record